UACGGAGGGUGCAAUCGUUGUUCGGAAUCACUGGGCGUAAAGCGCGUGUAGGCGGCCUCUUAAGUCUGGUGUGAAAGCCCGGGGCUCACCCCCCGGAAGGGCACUGGAUACUGGGAGGCUAGAGUACCGGAGAGGAGGGUGGAAUUCCUGGUGUAGCGGUGAAAUGCGUAGAUAUCAGGAGGAACACCGGUGGCGAAGGCGGCCCUCUGGACGGCUACUGACGCUGAGACGCGAAAGCGUGGGGAGAAAACAGG
This 254-nucleotide ribosomal RNA is filed under the name uncultured bacterium. Its description in RNAcentral is "partial 16S ribosomal RNA". It matches the Rfam family "Bacterial small subunit ribosomal RNA", at positions 524 to 776 of the family's 1533-position model. The record is from RNAcentral.